Molecule: ribosomal RNA, 323 nt
Filed under: uncultured eukaryote
Lineage: Eukaryota
Description: partial 18S ribosomal RNA
Rfam family: Eukaryotic small subunit ribosomal RNA
Source: RNAcentral
CCCUUAGAUGUUCUGGGCCGCACGCGCGCUACACUGAAUGGAUCAACGUGUUUUCCCUUCCCGAGAGGGACGGGUAACCCGCUGAACCCCAUUCGUGGUAGGGAUCGGAGCUUGCAAUUGUUCUCCGUGAACCAGGAAUUCCCAGUAAGCGCAAGUCAUAAGCUUGCGUUGAUUACGUCCCUGCCCUUUGUACACACCGCCCGUCGCUACUACCGAUUGAGUGAUCCGGUGAAUAAUUCGGACUGCGGCAUUGACCGGUUCCCGAUCGUUGCUGCGGAAAGUUUAGUGAACCUUAUCACUUAGAGGAAGGAGAAGUCGUAACA